GAACUGAAGAGUUUGAUCCUGGCUCAGAUUGAACGCUGGCGGCAUGCCUUACACAUGCAAGUCGAACGGCAGCACGGGAGCAAUCCUGGUGGCGAGUGGCGAACGGGUGAGUAAUACAUCGGAACGUGUCCUGUAGUGGGGGAUAGCCCGGCGAAAGCCGGAUUAAUACCGCAUACGCU
RNAcentral lists this ribosomal RNA (179 nucleotides) under Paraburkholderia caledonica. RNAcentral describes it as "partial 16S ribosomal RNA". It matches the Rfam family "Bacterial small subunit ribosomal RNA", at positions 1 to 179 of the family's 1533-position model. The record is from RNAcentral. RNAcentral also lists the same sequence under 1 other name. Lineage: Bacteria; Pseudomonadati; Pseudomonadota; Betaproteobacteria; Burkholderiales; Burkholderiaceae.